RNAcentral lists this long non-coding RNA (342 nucleotides) under Olea europaea (common olive). Its description in RNAcentral is "long non-coding RNA (OEUR_LNC013073)". Lineage: Eukaryota; Viridiplantae; Streptophyta; Magnoliopsida; Lamiales; Oleaceae. The record is from RNAcentral.
CCAUUGAACCUGCAAGCAGAAUUUUAUUAACCCUCAAAAACUGCUUUUGUUUUAACCAAUAACACAAUUCUUAGUAGAAUGUUAAACAUGAGGAAAGUAAGGAGGCAAGAAGAGACAAAUGAUUUAUCUAAUGACAUUUAUUUCGUUACUAACUGACAAACAAAGAAUUCAGGUCCAAGUUUUCCUUAGAGAUUCAUGAAUACAAUUCUCUUUCAACAUAAUUUUGAUCAAUAAUAUGCUAUAAUUAAACAAUUGCUACCUCUUCAGUACAGUGAGUUCUCUCGUACCUCGGUGUUCUCAUAUAAUUAAAGAUAGCGCUCGGGAGAUAACCACACAGCUCUU